Molecule: non-coding RNA, 6370 nt
Organism: Delphinapterus leucas (beluga whale)
Lineage: Eukaryota; Metazoa; Chordata; Mammalia; Artiodactyla; Monodontidae
Source: RefSeq, a predicted model, not a curated record
AAUAUAAAAACAAACAAACAAAAAAAUUCCCUCAACUCCUGCAAUACACACACAAACAGUACCUAAUUGUCCAAGGAUGUAAGGAAAGUAAUAGCAUCUUUAGCAUCAAAGGACAUCAUGUGAUCAGGUUUACUCCAAUCAACCCAUUAAAAAGUUUGCUUUUUCCCCCCUCCCCUUUGCCCCACUUUCUAAUGGACUACUCACCGUAGGGGGGGAAAAAUGUACUUUAUAAUUGGUUCUCAAUAGUCUCUGGGCAAUUUAUCAAUAGCAGCCUGUUUCCCACCUCUUUUUGCCUUCAGGGGCGGAAAGAGUGCCUCCUUUCCAUGGAGCAGACAGGUGAGUCCAUCCCACACCCUCUGUAUCCUUUAUAAAGCCCAGUAGAGCCCACAUUGUAGGUAGUGGACCAAUUCUUGUUUAAUAGAAUGAUGAAUAAGUUACCUUCCUCUCUUUCAUAAUAGGAAAGCUGAGGCCAGAGAGUUUAUUUUUUAAAAAUUUUGACACACUCAGCUUCAAAGAUAAAACACAAAGAAAAGCAUUCCAAAGACAAAAGUGAUUUUGUUCAUAUUUUAUAUUGGAGUAUCUUAACUGUGGAGAUUCUAAUGUUUCGGUCUUGGGGGGAUCUUAGGAGUCAGUAUUUUAAAGUUUCCCAGAUGUUUCCGAUGUGCAGGUUGAGUGAAAUCCUGAGCUAGAAAAACGCAGAAUGUUUCCCAAACCAUAUUGUGCAACAGAAUCACCUAGGAUAGUGCCUCUCAAACUUUAAUGUGCACACAAAUCACUUGGAGAUCCUGUUUAAAUGCAAGUUCUGAUUCAGGAGGUCUGGGCUGAAGCCAAGAUUCUGCAUUUUCUAACAAGCUCUGGAGUUUGCCGGUGCUGCUGGUUCACGGAUUAUACACUGAGUAGCAGCAAGGCCCUAGGAUGUUGGAGGAAAUACAGAUUCCUGAGUCCCACUCUCAGGGAUUCUGAUUCGCCUAGUUUUUAGUGAGACUCAACAAUCUGCAUUUUAAAAAGUUCCCUAAGGUGCUCUUGAUGCCCAGACGGAUUUACCAAAACCUGGGAACCAAUCCUGGCUCAUUAACCCCUUGUGUGACCUUAAGCAAUUCUUCCCUCUCUAUAGGUCUCAUUUUCCUCCUCAAGGAUAGAUAAGUUGAUUUCUUAGGCCCUUCCAACUCUCACGUUUAAGGAAACCUCCAUAACAGUUUAGGACCAAUGGCGGCCUGAGUCUGAGAACUACAAUCCCCACAAUGCGCUGUGCUGCUCCGCUCCCUUGUGGGAUCUUGAAAGAGGAUCGCUCCUGGAGGCACUCCCCACAACCCUUUGCGGUGCUUCAAGGUGGCGGCGCCCACUGGCGCCAUGAGCGAUCUGGAGAGCAGCAGCAGCAGCGAUGCGGAGGAGCUGGACCGGUGCCGCGAGGCGGCGAUGCCGGCCUGGGGCUUGGAGCAGCGCCCGAGGGGCCCGGAGAAGCCAAGAGCCGGUGCUGCAAAUACUCAGUUGCCAACCACCCAACCGAGCCUCAGGCACAAGGUGGAUGAGCACGAACAAGACGGCAACGAGCUGCAGACCACCCCUGAAUUCCGAGCGCACGUAGCUAAGAUGCUGGGAGCCCUGCUGGACAGCUCCAUUACCAUCUCAGAAGUAGUGAAGGAGCCAAGAAAGGCUGAGGUACCGAGAGGCGUCCUGGAGGAUGAUGGCUUCCGCCUUUUCUUCACGUCCAUCCCUGGAGGCCCUGAGAAGGAAGCUGCUCCCCAGCCCCGCCGGAAACGGUUGCCUUCCAGCUCCAGCAGCGAGGACGGCGAUGAGUUGCAGCGCUGCCGGGAGGCGGCUGUGUCAGUCUCUGACAUCAUCCAGGAGUCCGCCAUCCACGGCCCUGGCAACAUGGAGAAAAAGGCAAAGAAGAAGAAAAGGAAGUGGAAAAAGAAAGCCAAGGAGGACAGCACCAACCUCGCCCCCACGGCCACCACCGCAAGCAAGGCCGCAUCUGGGGAGCAGGGAAGGGAGUCCACCGGGCUCAACGGAGACCAGGCACCGUUUGGGACCAAAAAGAAGAAAAGGAAGAAAAAGGCAAAGAGGGCCAGUGAGACCUCCCCGUCCCCGCCAGCAAAGAGUGCAGCAGCCAUGCCUGCAAACUGAGCCCUGCCUGUGAGCACGGGGCCCAGCUCAGGCAGCUACAGGGUACAAGGCAUGUCCAAGCCCCGCCUCCCUCUCCAAGUGCAAGGACUUGGCUUGCAAGUCUAGACGUCGCCCAUGACUGGGGCUGGCCCAAGGGUCGGGGCAAAGAAGCAGUUGUAGGGCGAGCAAGGCCUGCCCUUCUGUGCUCCCACUGGGGCUGGGGCAGACCCGUGGUACCAGAACAUUCUGUGGUCUCAGGAAGAAGGAGGAGCCUCCCAGUCAUUGAAGGCUGAUGGCCAAGUGGUAGAGCUUCCGCCUUCUCAGCCUGGUGUGGGACAUGACCUGAAGAAAACGAGGGAGGGUGUCCCCGAGGUGCCAAGCCCCAGGAGGAGUUUUGUGCAUCUCCCUCCAAGCCACACAGACCUGAUAUAACAUUGUCUGGAAAAGAAGGAGAGAGAUCCCUGCCUCCACCUGGUUUUCCAGAAUUUUCUUUCUUCACAUUGUGAAUACACCAUGCAUGAUCAUGUCUCUGAGCCAACUGGAUAAUUGAAAAUAAAUUGUCGAGGGACCCAGAAUGUAACAGAGGGAUUUGGGUGCCGCCCUCGUGUCUGUGCUGAAUCCUGAUGAGCCACUAUAAGUAAGCAUCACACAGGAGGGGUCCUGCCUACACCCCCAGAAGUGUUCCCCUACCCCAGCGUCAAGACUUCAGGAAGUGUCACAGCACUCGUGGCCUGGGGGAUUCGUGGACCUAUGUAUCCUGCAAGAAGGAGCAGAAGUUCAAGGUGAAGGUGAAGUGCUGGCUUCGUUGCCUGGCCUUGGAGAUUCGGCAAAGCAAGGAAGACAGAGGAUGCUGAGCCAGAGGAGCUUACAGCUAGAACUUAGAAAUCAUCUAAUCCAGUGAUGACAGACACACAGCACACACACCACCCCUUUCCUAACUUGUGUCCAAGGGAGACAUCACUAAUCAACCCCUGCGUACUUUGCUACCGGGCCAGGAUAUAAUCUCACAGUCCUCAAUACAAGGCUCCAGCUUCCAGGUCUCUGCUGGUUCCCAGGGAGCACUUUGACCCCUGCUUCCCGCUCGAGUGCUGUGGAUCAAGCCUUUCCCUCCACCCAUCAUCCCACCAAAGGGGCUGCUGAUCAAGAGGCCCCACCCAGCCAGGUAAGGCCUUUGGCACUCCCUGCCCCCACUCUCCCCCGAAAGCCCCCAGUCCCAUCUGGGGCCCUGAGCAGGACUGGCCCUGCCCCACCCUUGUCCGGGUUGCCCUCGCCCUGGGUCUGGAGAUGCCAGACUCUGCCCCUCCCCUGCAACGCGGCAGGGCCCUUUGCCCUCCUCUUCCUGCCAAGUCAGGGGGCCCUGGCUACUCCCCUGCCUCCUGCCCAGGCCCUCAAAAGGCCUGUCAGGCCCUGAGAGCUCCCUGAGGCAGGGAUCCAGCCCUCCCCAACCCCAAGCUGGGAUCAGGACCUUGGACAGAAAAGAGGUGGUCUUUGGGACUCUUGCUCAGAACCCCCAGACACCCCCAGCUGGCCCCUGGCCCCGGUCAUGGUGACUGAGGGCACCAAAGAGAGUGGGUGUGGAGCCCCAGCUGGGUGGCCUUAGUCCAGCUCCGUCCCCCUCAGAGCCUCAGUUCCCUCAUCUGAGGAGCAGUUGUCCCCAGGUGCCUCCAGAGUUCAUCUCAACACUACCCGAAAUGAUACCUGUGAAACCUCAGCACGUGCCCACCUGGCUGUUAGGAUAGAGGUUACAGAGCCUUAGGGGAGGGGCAGUCCCUGCAGCCCCCAGGUUCCCCUUCCCUCACCUCCAACCUCCCCCACCCCUGCUCCGUGUGAAGUUGGUUGGCUCAGGCUUCCCCAGGCUACCAGCCCUCCAAGUUAAUGAUCACAGGCCUUAUCAGAGCCUUUUGCCAUUUAUAAAUUUAUAAAACAAAAGAGAAAUAAUAAAGCCCGUGGGUAAUUAGUAACCAGGUCAGCUCUGCUGAGGAGAGGGGAGGCAUCGGGCUCAGACCCACCCAGUUCUCUGGGAGAUGGGGAGUCAGCCAGUGGGUGGGGUACAGAGUGGGGAGGCUUCUAACGGUACCCACUGGUGAGGGGCAUGGCCUGAGGCUGUGCCGGAAAGGGGAGCAGCUCCCUUCCUAAGGCUCCAUUUCCCUCAGGUAAGAAAGACCUGGGUUCUGCUGACUGAAUGCUUAAGUUCCGGGGAGGCCAAGCGGGCCCCCCAAAACCCCAGCCUGGGCUCCCCCUCCCCACUGGUGCAUCCGGGUGCCUAGCAGGGAAGUUGGGAUUGGGGGAGUAGAAAUGGGCAUGGUAGCUAAAAAUUCCCUGCCUCCCCACCCCCGUUGUCCAGGGACUAGAAUCGUGGACUCUGCUGCUUUGUCCCCAUCUUGGGGCUCCCCUGGGGCAUGCCCCACUUCCCAGGCACCGGGCUGAAAGCCUUGGCUCAUGGAGACUCGGGACCCCGCAGAGGGCCGGGUCAGGGGCUGGAGGCUCCAACCUCCGAGCUAGGACCCCACCCCACCCCCGCUUCCAAGCUCUAAUGGGCCCUGUCCCCCUUGCCGACAGCCAGCCUAAAGGCUACAGCCCAUGGGACUCUGGACUGGCAAGGGCUGGUCAGGAGCCGAGGCUGGGCCCCUCCAGGCUCCUUGGGAGCUGGGGACAGGGGAGGGGUCCUUACUGCAGCAGGGUCUCCACCACGGCUUUCUGGUGGGCUGCCUCCUCGGGGCUGAGGUUCUCCAGCUCUCUGAGAAUGGGCGGCGUGAAGUCUUCCCCCUCGUCGUCCGUCUCGUCCUCGGAGCCCCUCGUCUCCCCCAGCCCAUUGGGCAACUCGGCCAGCUCCCCUCGACCGCCGCCACUGCAGGACUCCCCCUUGUCCGGGGGACCGUCUCCGGCCAGCAGGUAGGGCCCCGGCUCACCCAACGCCUGGAUCAGCGCCUCUUUGCUCAGGCCCGACUCGAGCAAGGCCGCCAGGAGCUCCGUCUGCAGCUGGCUCAGUUUAGAAACCAUGGCUCCACUAGCGCGGGCCACGCGGCCCAGGGCCACUGAGCCGGCCGCCUCCCGCCCCCCCGGCGUGGGCUGGCUCCGUGCUGGCCGGCCAGCAGGCAGGCCCAAACCAGGCUCCUUGCGCCCGCUGCCCCCCCAAACCCCACUAGCCAAGCCCUGUGGGCACCCCCAACCCCCAACCCUGGCCCCAGUGGCCAGUGAAUCAGGGCCCCUGCCCGCUCUGUUUACAUUGGAGCUGGGGAAAUUCUCCAAGGUUCAUAUUUAUCCAUGUGCUUAGCGAAGGGACUGAACUUUGGACUUCACCCUGCAAAGUGCAGGCCUCAUGGCAGCGCAGAGGGACAGGGAGCCGUGGCCUUCCAUGGGAGUGGGCAGAGCGGAGGGCGGGGGAGGCAGCGGUGGGGGGCCCAGGACAGCUGGGAUGGAAGGUACUGGGAGCCAGGGAGGCCUUCAGGUGACCAGCAUUGGGUCCCUCCCCCAGCGACCUCGUAGGGUGCCAGGCUGAGGCAAGAGAACAAAAACAGCCUUGGGAACAGAAACAGCAGAGUUCUAGGCUGUCGGGUCAACUCUCCUCAAGGGCAAGGCUAGGACACAUCCAUCUGAGGACCCCCCACUGCCAGCCCCAACGUCUGGCCUCCCAGGAGGGAAAAACGCGUUGACUAAGUCUACUGUGGGCUGGGUCUGUAACGAGUGUCAUUACCUUAGUGUAGCCCCCUAACAGCCCCCUAACAGAGUAGGUACAGGGAUUGUGCCCAUUUUACAGAGGAGGAAACUGAGGCUCUGAGAGGGUAAGCAACUCGCUCAAAGUCACACAGCUAGCAGGGACAAGAUUUGUGGAGUGGAAGCAGGGUGUGGCCAGUGAAGCACUUGGUGCAGGUGCAAAUUUUAAGGGGAUAUCAAAAAACUCAAGAUGAAAUCAAGAUGAAAAAAUAUUUUUAUAUACUCUAUUAAAAAUUCAAAAUUCAUGCAAAACCCAAAAGAACUUAAAAGAAAUGUCCACACAAAAAUUUGCCUGCGAAUGUUCUCAGCAGCGUGAUUCACAAGAGCUAAAAAAUAGAGAAAACAUAAAUAUCCAUCAGUGGAUGAAUGGAUAGAAGAAAUGUGGUCUCUCCGUGCAAUGGCAUGUUAUUUGGCCAUAAAAAGGAAUGAAGUCCUGAUUCAUGCUACAGUAGGCAUGAAUCUUGAAGACAUCAUGCUAAGUGAAAGAAGCCAGACACAAAAGGCCAUCUAUUGUAUGAUUCCAUGUAUAGGAAACGUCCAGAAUAGGCAA